AUACGUAGGUGACAAGCGUUAUCCGGAUUUACUGGGUGUAAAGGGCGUGUAGGCGGUUUAGCAAGUCAGAAGUGAAAUUCCCGGGCUUAACUUGGGCGCUGCUUCUGAAACUGCUUUACUUGAGUGCUGGAGAGGAUAGUGGAAUUCCUAGUGUAGCGGUAAAAUGCGCAGAUAUUAGGAGGAACACCGGUGGCGAAGGCGGCUAUCUGGACAGUAACUGACGCAGAGGCGCGAAAGCACGGGGAGCAAACAGGAUUAGAUACCCUGGUAGUCCGUGCCGUAAACGAUGAAUACUAGGUGUAGGGGGUAUCGACUCCCUCUGUGCCGCAGUUAACACAUUAAGUAUCCCACCUGGGGAGUACGGCCGCAAGGUUGAAACUCAAAUGAAUUGACGGGG
RNAcentral lists this ribosomal RNA (397 nucleotides) under uncultured bacterium. RNAcentral's name for it is "partial 16S ribosomal RNA". It matches the Rfam family "Bacterial small subunit ribosomal RNA", at positions 523 to 918 of the family's 1533-position model. The record is from RNAcentral.